AAAUAGAACUUUGCAGAGAGAGUUAAGAGGGCGUGAAACCGUUAAUUGGCAAACGAAUCGGAGCCACGAAGUCGUUUCGUCGAGCCUAGGGUUGAGUUCAGUUUGCAAUUCGUUGCAGGCGUAUUCUCAAACCUGGCCAAUGUAAGCGUACACUGCAACCAGUUAGACAAUUGCUCAUGGAACCAGCAAGUUGGUCAAGUUAGUAGUUGUAUGUUGGGGACUUGUCUCUAGUGUGCAGCUGGACUUGUGCCGAGUGAACUAUGAGCAAAUACUGACUGGCAAAAUGAAAAUCGUGCAACAGCACGUGCUAUGGCUGCUAGCUAUAUGAUAGACUACACAAUCCACCGUAGACAUAUUAAAGUUCGGUGCUCUCGAAUUUGGACUUGCCAGCUACCAAUGGGGCAACCCUUGGUGCUAGUAUAGCUUUCAUCUAAUCGGGUGCCGGCUUGUGUUUGCGUCGUUGCGAGUGUGCUACGAUUGGUUUACAUAUGGCUAGUAAGUUAUAUAUUGGCAGUGAGUAGGUCGGCUUUCCGAACGACCCGUCUUGAAACACGGACCAAGGAGUCUAAUUAGGCAUCAAGUCGAUCGGUCUUGAAUAGGCCAGACUGACUGGGCUCAGUCGAUUAAGGCGUAGAGAAAUCAUGUGAUCGUUCGGACUAAAAGGUCUGGAUGCGCAACAUGUGCCUGUUCAAGAAAAUGUUAACAAAUUUUCGAGCGGAGCAAAGAGAUGCCUGAUUGGUACCCGAAAGAUGGUGAUGCUUGGGCAAGUUGAAGCCAGAGGAAACUCUGGUGGAGGACUGUAGCGAUUCUGACGUGCAAAUCGAUCGUCAGACCUGAGUAUAGGGGCGAAAGACUAAUCGAACCAUC
RNAcentral lists this ribosomal RNA (867 nucleotides) under Jaranasia cf. anamensiae CQ3_2. RNAcentral's name for it is "partial large subunit ribosomal RNA". It matches the Rfam family "Eukaryotic large subunit ribosomal RNA", at positions 366 to 944 of the family's 3401-position model. Lineage: Eukaryota; Metazoa; Arthropoda; Arachnida; Trombidiformes; Eriophyidae. The record is from RNAcentral.